RNAcentral lists this ribosomal RNA (254 nucleotides) under uncultured bacterium. RNAcentral describes it as "partial 16S ribosomal RNA". It matches the Rfam family "Bacterial small subunit ribosomal RNA", at positions 524 to 777 of the family's 1533-position model. The record is from RNAcentral.
UACGGAGGUGGCAAGCGUUGUUCGGAAUUACUGGGCGUAAAGGGCGCGUAGGCGGCUAGGCAAGUCAGAUGUGAAAGCCCCGGGCUUAACUCGGGAAUUGCAUCUGAAACUGCUGGGCUUGAGUUCUGGAGGGGGUAGUGGAAUUCCCAGUGUAGCGGUGAAAUGCGUAGAUAUUGGGAGGAACACCUGCGGCGAAGGCGGCUACCUGGACAGAAACUGACGCUGAGGCGCGAAAGCUAGGGGAGCGAACGGGG